Molecule: ribosomal RNA, 501 nt
Filed under: Craugastor longirostris (long-snouted whistling frog)
Lineage: Eukaryota; Metazoa; Chordata; Amphibia; Anura; Craugastoridae
Description: partial 16S ribosomal RNA
Rfam family: Bacterial large subunit ribosomal RNA
Source: RNAcentral
CGCCUCUUGAUAAGAGGUCCAGCCUGCCCAGUGAGAUUUAACGGCCGCGGUAUAUUAACCGUGCAAAGGUAGCGCAAUCACUUGUUCCCUAAAUAGGGACCCGUAUGAAUGGCAUCACGAGGAUUUAACUGUCUCCCUCCUCUAAUCUGUGAAACUAAUCUCCCUGUGAAAAAGCAAGGAUAAACAUAUAAGACGAGAAGACCCUGUGGAACUUUAAACAUAAUAGUACUUGCAUGCUAACUAAAAGUUUUCGGUUGGGGUGACCACGGAGUAAAACUUACCCUCCACGUUGAAAACCCACAAGCUACAACUUUAAAGAUCAGUAAACUGACAUUAUUGACCCAAACUUUUGAUCAACGAACCAAGCUACCCCAGGGAUAACAGCGCAAUCUACUUCAAGAGUACAUAUCGACAAGUAGGCUUACGACCUCGAUGUUGGAUCAGGGUAACCUAGUGGUGCAGCCGCUACAAAAGGUUCGUUUGUUCAACGAUUAAACCCCU